GAUGAACGCUGGCGGCGUGCCUAAUACAUGCAAGUCGAGCGAACGGACGAGAAGCUUGCUUUUCUGAUGUUAGCGGCGGACGGGUGAGUAACACGUGGAUAACCUACCUAUAAGACUGGGAUAACUUCGGGAAACCGGAGCUAAUACCGGAUAAUAUUUUGAACCGCAUGGUUCAAAAGUGAAAGACGGUCUUGCUGUCACUUAUAGAUGGAUCCGCGCUGCAUUAGCUAGUUGGUAAGGUAACGGCUUACCAAGGCAACGAUGCAUAGCCGACCUGAGAGGGUGAUCGGCCACACUGGAACUGAGACACGGUCCAGACUCCUACGGGAGGCAGCAGUAGGGAAUCUUCCGCAAUGGGCGAAAGCCUGACGGAGCAACGCCGCGUGAGUGAUGAAGGUCUUCGGAUCGUAAAACUCUGUUAUUAGGGAAGAACAUAUGUGUAAGUAACUGUGCACAUCUUGACGGUACCUAAUCAGAAAGCCACGGCUAACUACGUGCCAGCAGCCGCGGUAAUACGUAGGUGGCAAGCGUUAUCCGGAAUUAUUGGGCGUAAAGCGCGCGUAGGCGGUUUUUUAAGUCUGAUGUGAAAGCCCACGGCUCAACCGUGGAGGGUCAUUGGAAACUGGAAAACUUGAGUGCAGAAGAGGAAAGUGGAAUUCCAUGUGUAGCGGUGAAAUGCGCAGAGAUGUGGAGGAACACCAGUGGCGAAGGCGACUUUCUGGUCUGUAACUGACGCUGAUGUGCGAAAGCGUGGGGAUCAAACAGGAUUAGAUACCCUGGUAGUCCACGCCGUAAACGAUGAGUGCUAAGUGUUAGGGGGUUUCCGCCCCUUAGUGCUGCAGCUAACGCAUUAAGCACUCCGCCUGGGGAGUACGACCGCAAGGUUGAAACUCAAAGGAAUUGACGGGGGCCCGCACAAGCGGUGGAGCAUGUGGUUUAAUUCGAAGCAACGCGAAGAACCUUACCAAAUCUUGACAUCCUUUGACAACUCUAGAGAUAGAGCCUUCCCCUUCGGGGGACAAAGUGACAGGUGGUGCAUGGUUGUCGUCAGCUCGUGUCGUGAGAUGUUGGGUUAAGUCCCGCGACGAGCGCAACCCUUAAGCUUAGUUGCCAUCAUUAAGUUGGGCACUCUAAGUUGACUGCCGGUGACAAACCGGAGGAAGGUGGGGAUGACGUCAAAUCACCAUGCCCCUUAUGAUUUGGGCUACACACGUGCUACAAUGGACAAUACAAAGGGCAGCGAAACCGCGAGGUCAAGCAAAUCCCAUAAAGUUGUUCUCAGUUCGGAUUGUAGUCUGCAACUCGACUACAUGAAGCUGGAAUCGCUAGUAAUCGUAGAUCAGCAUGCUACGGUGAAUACGUUCCCGGGUCU
This 1372-nucleotide ribosomal RNA is filed under the name uncultured bacterium. RNAcentral's name for it is "bacterial SSU rRNA". It matches the Rfam family "Bacterial small subunit ribosomal RNA", at positions 28 to 1381 of the family's 1533-position model. The record is from RNAcentral.